CGGACGGGUGAGUAAUGUCUGGGAAACUGCCUGAUGGAGGGGGAUAACUACUGGAAACGGUAGCUAAUACCGCAUAAUGUCGCAAGACCAAAGAGGGGGACCUUCGGGCCUCUUGCCAUCGGAUGUGCCCAGAUGGGAUUAGCUUGUUGGUGGGGUAACGGCUCACCAAGGCGACGAUCCCUAGCUGGUCUGAGAGGAUGACCAGCCACACUGGAACUGAGACACGGUCCAGACUCCUAGGGGAGGCAGCAUG
RNAcentral lists this ribosomal RNA (253 nucleotides) under uncultured bacterium. Its description in RNAcentral is "partial 16S ribosomal RNA". It matches the Rfam family "Bacterial small subunit ribosomal RNA", at positions 99 to 353 of the family's 1533-position model. The record is from RNAcentral.